CCCUUAGAUGUUCUGGGCCGCACGCGUGCUACACUGAGUGGAUCAGCGGGUCAGGUUGCGCGAAAGCGUUUCCUAAUCUUUAAAUCCGCUCGUGAUGGGGAUUGACGGUUGCAAUUUUCUGUCAUGAACGAGGAAUACCUUGUAAGCGCGGGUCAUCAUCCCGUGCUGAAUACGUCCCUGCCCUUUGUACACACCGCCCGUCGCUCCUACCGAUUGAGUGGUCCGGUGAGGCUUUGGGAUCUGAGCGGAAAGAGCGUUUCGCUGUUUCUGCUCGGAAAACUCAGUCGAACCUUAUCAUUUAGAGGAAGGAGAAGUCGUAACA
This 322-nucleotide ribosomal RNA is filed under the name uncultured eukaryote. Its description in RNAcentral is "partial 18S ribosomal RNA". It matches the Rfam family "Eukaryotic small subunit ribosomal RNA", at positions 1470 to 1796 of the family's 1831-position model. The record is from RNAcentral.